Molecule: ribosomal RNA, 433 nt
Filed under: uncultured bacterium
Lineage: Bacteria
Description: partial 16S ribosomal RNA
Rfam family: Bacterial small subunit ribosomal RNA
Source: RNAcentral
AACGAACGCUGGCGGCAGGCCUAACACAUGCAAGUCGAGCGAGGACUUCGGUUCUAGCGGCGGACGGGUGAGUAACGCGUGGGAAUGUGCCCUUCUCUACGGAAUAUCCCUGGGAAACUGGGAGUAAUACCGUAUACGCCCUAUUGGGGAAAGAUUUAUCGGAGAAGGAUCAGCCCGCGUUGGAUUAGGUAGUUGGUGGGGUAAUGGCCUACCAAGCCUACGAUCCAUAGCUGGUUUGAGAGGAUGAUCAGCCACACUGGGACUGAGACACGGACCAGACUCGUACGGGAGGCAGCAGUGGGGAAUCUUAGACAAUGGGGGCAACCCUGAUAUAGCCAUGCCGCGUGAGUGAUGAAGGCCUUAGGGUUGUAAAGCUCUAUCAGCUGGGAAGAUAAUGACGGUACCAGAAGAAGAAGCCCCGGCUAACUCCGUG